UACGGGGGGGGCAAGCGUUGUUCGGAAUUACUGGGCGUAAAGGGUUCGUAGGUGGCCAAUUAAGUCAGACGUAAAAUCCCUCAGCUUAACUGGGGAACUGCGUCUGAGACUGGAUGGCUUGAGUGCAGGAGAGGAACGCGGAAUUCCAGGUGUAGCGGUGAAAUGCGUAGAUAUCUGGAGGAAUACCGGUGGCGAAGGCGGCAUCCUGGACCGGCAUUGACGCUGAUGAGCGAAAGCUAGGGGAGCAAACGGG
Molecule: ribosomal RNA, 253 nt
Filed under: uncultured bacterium
Lineage: Bacteria
Description: partial 16S ribosomal RNA
Rfam family: Bacterial small subunit ribosomal RNA
Source: RNAcentral